AUGGCGGACGCCAGCCCGCAGGCGGAGAGGCCGAGGCUGAGGCGCCUGGAGUUCGUGCGCGUGGUGUCGGUGCAGGCGGCCGUGUGCAUCGCGGCGCUCUACGCGCUCGCCAGGGACCACUCCGGCUCGCUCCGCCCCAGAGUCGACGCCGUCGAGUCCGCCGUCAGGCGCGUCGCCGGCCCCGUCGCCCGCCGCCUCCACGGCGUCCCCCUCCACGUCCUCGCCUUCGUCGACCGCAAGGUGGACGACGCGGUGCAUGAGCUGGGCCGGCACCUCCCGUCGGCGGUGAAGUCCGCGUCGGCGCAGGCGUCCCACGCGGUCCACGCCGUGCCGGAGCUGGCCAGGGAGAUCGCCGACGGGGCGAGGCGGUCCGGCGUGAAGGGCGUGGCCAAGGACGUGUACGGCAUGGUCCAGCCGGUGGCCAAGGACCUCUACGUGCGCUGCGAGCCGGUGGCCAAGGACCUGUACGCGCGCUACGAGCCGGCGGCCGAGCACCUCGCCGUCUCCGCCUGGCGCUCGCUCAACGGGCUGCCGGUGUUCCCGCAGGUGGCGCACAUCGUCGUGCCCACCGCCGCCUACUGGUGCGAGAAGUACAACAGGGUGAUCUCGUUCGCGGCCGGGCGGGGGUUCCCCGGCGCACGGUUCCUCCCCGGCAUCCCCAUCGAGCGCAUCGCCAAGGCGUUCGGGACGAACUCGGCCGGGGAGCGCUCGCCGGAUGCCAAGCCGACGGGACUUGAUGCCCAGACCUCCGAGGAGCGCUCGUCCGAUGCCAAGCCUAUGGGACUGGAUGCCCAGACCUCCUCCGAGGAGCGCUCGUCCGAUGCCAAGCCUAUGGGACUGGAUGCCCAGACCUCCUCCGAGGAGCGUUCGCCCGAUGCCAAGGCUGUGGGACCUGAUGCGCAGACCGGGGAGGAGAGCUCGCCGGAUGCCAAGCCUGUGGAAUCUGACGCCCAGACCGCCGGGGAGAGCCAGCCGGAGGCGGCCAAGCCUAUGGAUCUUGGGGCCCAGGCCUAG
RNAcentral lists this ribosomal RNA (1014 nucleotides) under Triticum aestivum (bread wheat). RNAcentral describes it as "partial small subunit ribosomal RNA". The record is from RNAcentral. Lineage: Eukaryota; Viridiplantae; Streptophyta; Magnoliopsida; Poales; Poaceae.